This 115-nucleotide ribosomal RNA is filed under the name Pteropus alecto (black flying fox). The record is from RNAcentral. Lineage: Eukaryota; Metazoa; Chordata; Mammalia; Chiroptera; Pteropodidae.
GCCACGGCCAUGCCACCCUGAACAAGCCCGAUGUCUGAUCUCGGAAGCUAAACAGGAUCAGGUCUGGUUAGUACUUAGAUGGGAGACCACCUAGGAAGACCAGGUGCUAAAGGCA